RNAcentral lists this long non-coding RNA (722 nucleotides) under Scleropages formosus (Asian bonytongue). RNAcentral describes it as "lncRNA (ENSSFOG00015028649.1)". The record is from RNAcentral. Lineage: Eukaryota; Metazoa; Chordata; Actinopteri; Osteoglossiformes; Osteoglossidae.
CUCCAACCAAGAGGUGGUCAUCACUCUAGGGGUGCUGCUGGGCAUUAGUGUGGCAGUGGCAGUGGUGUUGGCUGUUAUGUUUGUCAGGUUUAGAAAACAAAGAAAAAACGCUGACAACUUCUCGACUACAAACCUCUGCAUCGACAGCAACACGACAGAGGAGAAUUCAUUCCAGAGAGAAACCAGAAAUUCGGAUCAGAGCUCUCAUGGUACAAGAUGGACCCAUAAGCAGAAAGAAAAAGACAGUGACAGCAACACAGACAAUAGCCAGACCUCUACCUUCUGACAUUGUCCAGUCAACUGGGACAUAUCCAUUGGAGCGGAACAUAUACCUUACCCCGCCCCCGACGGAAAGGACACCCAGGUCCAUUUCCCAACAGUGUUACCAGUAAACAAAAAGGGGGGGGGGAGGGAAAAAAAAAAAAAAAAAAAAAAAAAAACUUUUAAAAAGUUCAACAGAAGGGAAUUUGAGAGAAACUGUAAAAAUGAAUUAUAUAAGGAUGCAGCACUAAUUCAGAGGAUGUAAUUAAGAGACCUAUAUGUACAGACACUGGAAAAUGCAUUUUAAUUGCAGAUUAAAUAAUUACAGUCCAAGUUUAUUAGGAUCCCUGUUCAUCCUUUUUAGUGAAUUUAUCUAAGUGGAUAUGAGAGUGGAGAGCUGUGUAUUAUUUAAGGGACAAUUAUUGAGUGCGUAGCUGAGGAUUAAAGUCUCAGGAAAAGGA